AGAGUUUGAUCCUGGCUCAGAACGAACGCUGGCGGCGCGUAUUAAGCAUGCAAGUCGAACGGGAGUGAGGCCCUUCGGGGUUUCAUGAGAGUGGCGAACGGGUGAGUAACACGUAGGUGAUCUACCCUUGGGUGGGGAAUAGCCCAUGGAAACAUGGGGUAAUACCGCAUGAGGUCUUUCUGCGUAAAGCGGAUGGAUAAAAGGAGCAAUUGUUCCGCCUGGGGAUGAGCCUGCGGUCCAUUAGCUAGUUGGUGUGGUAAGAGCGCACCAAGGCGACGAUGGAUAGCCGGCCUGAGAGGGUGCACGGUCACACUGGGACUGAGACACGGCCCAGACUCCUACGGGAGGCAGCAGCUAAGAAUCUUCCGCAAUGGGGGAAACCCUGACGGAGCGACGCCGCGUGGGCGAAGAAGGCCGCAAGGUUGUAAAGCCCUUUUCUUGACGAAGAAUAAGGCAAGGAGUGGAACGCCUUGCUGAUGACGUUAGUCGAGGAAGAAGCCCCGGCCAAUUACGUGCCAGCAGCCGCGGUAACACGUAUGGGGCAAGCGUUGUUCGGAAUUACUGGGCGUAAAGGGUGCGUAGGCGGUUCAGCAAGCUUGGUGUUAAAUCCCCCGGCCUAACCGGGGAGCAGCGCUGGGAACUGCUGGGCUGGAGUUCAGGAGGGGAAGCUGGAAUUCCUGGUGUAGGGGUGAAAUCUGUAGAGAUCAGGAAGAACACCGAUGGCGAAGGCAAGCUUCUGGCCAUGGACUGACGCUGAGGCACGAAAGCGUGGGGAGCGAACAGGAUUAGAUACCCUGGUAGUCCACGCCGUAAACGAUGUGCACUAGGUGUUGGGGCGAUGAAAGCCUCGGUGCCGUAGCGAACGUGUUAAGUGCACCGCCUGGGGAGUAUGCUCGCAAGGGUGAAACUCAAAGGAAUUGACGGGGGCCGCACAGCGGUGGAGCCACGUUGUUUAUUCGAUGAUACGCGAGGACUUACCAGGCUUGACAUUGUGCAUGGCGGUUCUGUGGAGAGCAGGCUUUCCCGCAGGACGUGUACACAGUGCUGCAUGCUGUCGUCAGCUCGUGUCGUGAAAAUGUCGUAGUUCGCACGAGGCACCCCUACUGUCUGUUGCCAGGCGUAUGGUGGCACUUGGACGGAACUGCGGUACAUCGAGAACUGAUGACUCAGGUCAUCAUGCCCUUAGGUCCGGCUAACACCCGGUCCUACAUGGCC
This 1215-nucleotide ribosomal RNA is filed under the name uncultured prokaryote. RNAcentral's name for it is "partial 16S ribosomal RNA". It matches the Rfam family "Bacterial small subunit ribosomal RNA", at positions 8 to 1234 of the family's 1533-position model. The record is from RNAcentral.